GAUGAACGCUGGCGGCGUGCCUAAUACAUGCAAGUCGAGCGAACAGACGAGGAGCUUGCUCCUCUGACGUUAGCGGCGGACGGGUGAGUAACACGUGGAUAACCUACUUAUAAGACUGGGAUAACUUCGGGAAACCGGAGCUAAUACCGGAUAAUAUAUUGAACCGCAUGGUUCAAUAGUGAAAGACGGUUUUGCUGUCACUUAAAGAUGGAUCCGCGCCGCAUUAGCUAGUUGGUAAGGUAACGGCUUACCAAGGCAACGAUGCGUAGCCGACCUGAGAGGGUGAUCGGCCACACUGGAACUGAGACACGGUCCAGACUCCUACGGGAGGCAGCAGUAGGGAAUCUUCCGCAAUGGGCGAAAGCCUGACGGAGCAACGCCGCGUGAGUGAUGAAGGUCUUCGGAUCGUAAAACUCUGUUAUUAGGGAAGAACAAAUGUGUAAGUAACUAUGCACGUCUUGACGGUACCUAAUCAGAAAGCCACGGCUAACUACGUG
Molecule: ribosomal RNA, 497 nt
Filed under: uncultured bacterium
Lineage: Bacteria
Description: partial 16S ribosomal RNA
Rfam family: Bacterial small subunit ribosomal RNA
Source: RNAcentral